UACGGAGGGGGCUAGCGUUGUUCGGAAUUACUGGGCGUAAAGCGCACGUAGGCGGCUUUUUAAGUCAGGGGUGAAAUCCUGGAGCUCAACUCCAGAACUGCCUUUGAUACUGAGAAGCUUGAGUCCGGGAGAGGUGAGUGGAACUGCGAGUGUAGAGGUGAAAUUCGUAGAUAUUCGCAAGAACACCAGUGGCGAAGGCGGCUCACUGGCCCGGUACUGACGCUGAGGUGCGAAAGCGUGGGGAGCAAACAGG
Molecule: ribosomal RNA, 253 nt
Filed under: uncultured bacterium
Lineage: Bacteria
Description: partial 16S ribosomal RNA
Rfam family: Bacterial small subunit ribosomal RNA
Source: RNAcentral